UGCGCUAUGGGUGCAGCCAUUACAAAAGAAAGAAAGAAAGGUAAUAGGAAUAUAUACCUAUUCUUUAAAAUAAAAUAAAACCUAUUCUUAGGUUUCCUUUAGGUUUAACCAUUUGCAGUGCCAUUGGACUGAGCAGACAAGUGUAUAAUUAAAGAACAACCAGAAUGCAACUUAUUUAGUGUUCAACCCGGAAUCCAAGCCACUUCUGCAACUUAAACCACAGCUCAUGGCAACUCCAGAUUCUUAAUCCACUGAGUGAGGCCAGGGAUCAAAGCAUCCUCAUGGAUACUGGUUGGGUUCGUAACUGCUGAGCCAUGACAGGAACUCUCAGAGUAAGAGUAAAGUGGUCUUAAAUAUUGAGUCACUGAGAUAAAGACCUGAACUGUGCAAAACUUCAGGUCAUUUCUCUGAGUAAAGAGGUACCCAGCAAUAUAAGAUGAUUAGUCAAACAACAGUGCUUAGAAUGAUAUUUUUAUGUAUAAUCUGAAAAAGCUGUAGACAACAAAACAUCCCAAUUUAUGACACUAAACUUCCCUAGAUCCUGAAAUUUGGAAAAACUCUACAAGAAUAUUCCAGGAAGACACACAAGUGGGCGGGAAAAUGACAGACACACUGUACAUGGGAGGAAAAUCCAAACGUGUACAAAGGAACCUCGAGGAAAAGUAUUAAAAGCAAAUUGAAAUACAUUCUUUGAGCUAAAGUUCUGGCCUCUGCUACUCAAGAAAAAGAAGUGUUUCAAAUCCAUGCUGAAAUGAUGGACCAAAGGCCACCUGGAGCCAUGGUACUGAUUUUUGACCAGCAUGGGAAUGGAAUAUGCUACCUAAUGGUCUAUAAUGUAACCUGAUCUUUGAAGUCCAAAGCUCCCCCAAGUAUUUUUCUCAGGAGAUGGGAUUAAGAUGGUGGAAUAGAAGAACUGGAGCUCAACUUCUC
Molecule: non-coding RNA, 930 nt
Organism: Sus scrofa (pig)
Lineage: Eukaryota; Metazoa; Chordata; Mammalia; Artiodactyla; Suidae
Source: RefSeq, a predicted model, not a curated record